Taeniopygia guttata (zebra finch) is the source of this 7838-nucleotide non-coding RNA. The record is from RefSeq and is a predicted model, not a curated record. NCBI's taxonomy places the organism in Eukaryota, Metazoa, Chordata, Aves, Passeriformes, Estrildidae.
UUUUUUUUCCCCCGGUUGUGCUGUUUUAUUUGUGAGGAGUUUUGGUCUUGGUUUUCUUUUUUUCUGGACAUUUUGGUGAUAAGAACUUUUUGUGAUAGCUUAUCCUGAAAUAGUCUGAAGGAAAGGGCUAGCAGUAUGCUCUUAUUCUUUUAAGGAGCCACCAGUGUGCCAUGCAUGACAUGAAAAUGUAGGUAAAAGUGGCUCAGAAUGAAAUGAGGUUUCAAAUUAUUUAUCAUUUUCCCUUUAACCUCUUCAUCUUGGCUUAUGUUUGUUAAAUCCUAUUAAAAAUUAAUGUUGAAAUGUGGUACAAGAUACUAUUUGCCAUAGAUAGACAUCACUUUUUAAAUUAAAUUGUGAGACUUUUCAGUGCAGCAAACAGAUAUAAUUAAUGCUAUUUUUAUUUUUUCAAGGUGAGAGACAAAAAGCUGUAGAGGAAGGGAGAGGAGAAUAAACUCUAACAGCCCUAAAAAUUGAGGACAGUUGGCUUAAGAACUUCUUUCACCUUUUAGUUAAGAAGGGGUAUUAAAAAGGGUUGCGAUUGAAGGUAUUAAAAAUCUUUGUAGGUCAUUUAUAAUAGCUUAUUCAACAACAAAGAAAAUAAUAUUUCUGAGAACUGCUUCUUUUUCUGUCUUUGAGAUACUACACUGAAAUAUGGAGGUUUUUUUUGCAGAGGAAAAAUUUUCAUGGUGGAAAGAUAGAACUUCACCUUUGCAGCACCUAGGCUAGCUUCCCAGGCUAGCCGUCACAAAAGAUUUAAGUUUCUUUACAGUUAAUUUAGGAAAAAAAAGUUGCCUGUUCUGUGCUCAGCAUUGACAAUGCCAGCAGAAGCUCCAUGUUGUCACAAUGGAUAGAAAUCAUGUAAUCACAGAGCUGGGGCUGGUGAUGGCUGCUGGCCUUUGCAGAGCCAUGGUGGGUAUAGAGCUCUGCAAUAGGCUCAGCUGUGGCUUAUAUCCUUGAAAGCAGCAGCUUGUUGGCAUCAUCUCCAAGUUCUGUCAAGCAAAAUGUGCAGCUCCUUAUGCAUAUUGCCUAUAUCUAUUUUACCUUUCUGUGGACAAAUUGCAUAGAAUGUCAUAAAUUGGUUUAAAGAAAAUUGGCAAAGAUCUACUUUUUAAUUAUCUCAGGCUGACAUCUCCAAUAACUGAAACUUGAAAGUCUCAGGAAGAAAAGUCAGGCAAGGUGAGUGUCUUACUUAAGAUGUGAUCCUGGGCAGCUUGGAGGUCUCUAGAAAAUAAUUUGUGUGGGUUUUUUAGGGUUUGUGAGGAAGCUGGUGUAGUGAGAAGCAGAGAUUUGAGAUUACUUUGCAGAGGAGGGAAAAUACGAUGUGAGAUGGAGCAGAUUUUAAUUGAUGAUUAACUCCAUUGAGACGGUAAUUUGUUCCAGCUGCGGGGAACAUACCUUGCUGUCUGUCUCAAGUUAAUUUCAAGAGCACUCCAGGCCUUUAACCACAGCAGUGAAAUCUCAGCACUUUGUCAAACAAGCCCUUAGCCAUGUCUGUGUUAGCCAUAGGACUAGGCUUUUCUUUUUUUGGACAGUUUUCCACAGAGCUAGUAAACAUGCCAACAUACAAUGGUAAUACACUGCUUCAGAGCAGUCUCAAAUUAACCUCUGUUUCUUGAAAGAAAAUGUCAUUUUGAUACAGACAAAACUAUGGUAAAAAUAAUAUUUUUAUUAUUUUCUCGCAUAAUAGUUUCUUAAUGUCCUGUCCAUUUUUCCUGUCCUGCAAAAACCUUAAGGUUGUAAGAACUGUGCAAACUUUCCUCCCAUGUGUGUCUGGAAUACUAAAUUACUAUCAUUUGGGACCUUUCUUAAAGCUAUAAUCUCUUUGUAUUGGGAAAUCCAGUCAAGAUUAAAGCUGCAUUAAAAGAGCUGCUAUGAAAAGAUGCAGUAAGAUGAUGUCCUGCUGUCCUAUGUGUUCUCCAGCAGUGUAUGGGAAUGAUUUUUGUUAUGAAUUACAGCUGGGUCCCCUUAGCUCAUCCAGUGCAGGGACUGGAUCAUCUGUUUGAUGAGUGAAGGCUGUUAAGAUUUUAGUAGAUAAUUUACUGACUUAGGCUGCCUUUCUGGUUGAACUGUUUAUAUUGGCAAACUUCUGAAUAUGGAUAUAAAUUAUAUGUCAUUGCUAGUUCCUCUUUUGUGGUAGAAAGGACAGAGAAAGGAUUAGAGCAUACUCCUAUGCAGGCAUGCAUGUUUUGAGUCAGACCUGUAACCUACAGGAAAACAGCACUGUAGUUUGCCAGAAAUCAUGAGAUAUCCAAAUAGGAGCAAUUCACUUGGUUCUGGCAGAGCUGGCUUUGAAACCAAAUUUUUAUUCACCAGUUUUUAUCCAAAACAGUGAAAAUUCUGAACUGGAAUAAGAAGUAGUCCCCCUCCUCCACAACAUGCUAUUAAAAUACCACAAUGUUUUGCUUAUGAAACUGGUGUGCUCUGCAGGAUUCCUGACUGCUGCUGCGUGAAGCUGACAGGGUUUGACUGUUUUGCUGCUGUUAAUCAGUGGGGUUUGUUAGUGAAACUAAAAGGAUUAUAACAGUUUUAUUCAGCAGCUUCAUGGGCUCCCUGGGUUCCCUGGUGAGUGGGAGGCUGUCCUGGGAGUCACAGACUGGAGUCAGGCAGCUGGGAGCUCAGGUGGCUCUGAAACCUGCAAGUCUUCACAUCCAGCUCUUUAUUGCUGAGGAGACAGGAUUGAUUAACUGUGCUAGAAUGAUGGGAGAAGUAAGAUUCUACUCUUCUGGAAACUUAGACCAUAACUUGACGGCAAAGGUAGUUGAACUGCUUGGCUCUCAUGUGGCAGUUAUGUACUUAGUUAUUUCAUAAGCAUCCUUAUUUAAAAAGUAGGGGGGUCUCCAUGUAGUGAUCCUUGAUGAUUCACUUAGCCUAAUAAUGCAGGAAAGGAAGUAUUUUACAAGUGUUAAUCAAAAUAUAGAUUGAGUAGUUAAACUGACUUGGUUUAUCCUGUGUAGUGAAGAAAGUCCUUGUCUUGUCAUCUUUUGUAUUUCAAGAAAAUACAGGUAUUCAAAUUUGCCUCGCUCUAUUUCCCUAGAUAAUCUCCUGACUUGACAAUGGAAGAGCUGAGUACCUAUUUUGUGAUCAGAUAUUCUCUGCUUGUGAGGAGAAAGCAAACAAAAUGUUCUUUACUAGGAUAUGUUGUUUGAUUCUAUAAAAAAUUUACACUUGUUGGCUUUGAACAAGUGGCACAUGACCAACCAUUCCCCCAGACUUCUUGGUGUUGUGUUGCUUCAGUGCCUUUCAAGGCUGGAAGCUAUACUUGCACUGUAGCCCACAUGCCAGUGCUCACAUAUGAAGAUACUCACUGAUACUGUGGCAAAAAUUAUGUAUAUUCUGGGGAAAAAUUAGGCUAUUUUGGAAAGCCUAUAUUAUUUGAGUGGUAACUUCAGAACUCUUCAUGUAUCUCGCUUAUUGACAAGUGCUGUUAUUCUUGAGUGGUUUAUUGAAUAAAGCUGAUUUAUCAAAUGCUACUUUAUUUUAGGUCUUUAAAAUUAUUUUAGGUCUUUAAUCUGCGGAUUAGCUACUGAUGGACUUCCACUUAUUAAUGAUAAGUUUGUUAUAUUUAGAGUAAUGCUAUCAUGUUCAAUGCUGGAGUCCCAGUUGAAAGCAGAACUGUCUUUGUUCUUAUAGUCAUAUGAAAACUGAAAGGUGUGAAUAAUGCCCAUGUGCUCCAACUUAGUUCUGCAGUCUCCAAGAUGGUUUUGGGCAAUCACUAAUAUUAAAACAAUAGUGUAUAACUAAGAGUUAAAUUUCAUUUUUGCUUUAGCCUUUUAGCUGUUCUUUCUGGUAUAAUUUAAUGGAUUUGAUCCAUAACACUUGUGUGAAUUGUAACUUCCAUUGGAGCAUUAUACCUUUAGAGGUAUCUUAAUGAAAGUCCUGCUGGGGAAUGUGAUGGUUUUUUUGAACCAAAAUAACAGUGAGGAAGAGGUAAGGAAGACAAUAAACCCAGACAUUUAACACACUCUUCUAGCCUUAACUGGGGCACCAGUUGGAACAAUUAUCAUUCAGAACUGAGACAAAUGCUCUUGGCUAUUCAGCUGUGGGUCUGCUUUACACUUCAUGUGAAGAACUAAAUAUUCCCAGAGCUGUUUCCUAUCAGUCUGUUACCUGGUAGUUAGGAUGCUUCCUUGAACACUGAGCCUGUGCUCAGUAAGGUAAUGUGGGUAUUAAGCAUGGCUGUGGAGCAUGGCUGGCCCCACAUCCUGAGUGAAUAUAACAACAGUGAGCAAGUCAAGUCAUCUCUUCUGAAAGGAGGAGUUGGCUGUUUUGGUUUUUGUUUUAUUUCUCCUCUUCAUUGUUUGAUUGUUCUCACACAAAUCUGUUUUUCUGACACACUUGAUUUCAUACAAAUACUAAGCAAUGGGAUUUUUUUAAUGUGUAGGAUGAAAAACCUCUUUUGUUCUCAGGUUCUGUUUGUUACUUCACUUCCAGUUGAGCAGAGGGGACUCGUGAAGUGUAUGUAGGAAUUGCACACAUGUUGUUGAAACGUUGCAUAUUUCUAGUUUAGAACUGAGUAAAAACAGUGUGCUAAUGACAGCCAUAACUAUGUGUUAAUACACAUACUAGUGUGCAGAAAGGAGUCACAGUUGGAUGUACUGACAUAGAUUAAACUUCAUCCCUUUUCUCCUUUUUAGAAGUCAUUAUUGGGGAAAAAAAACCACAAGAGUAAAGGUCAGUAGAACAAUAACAAUACAAUAUUUUUAGUGGGGUAAAGUAAAUUAUUUUUAAUGUUAUUUUUGAGUGAUUGAUUUCAUACUGUAGUUUAAUACAUAGGGCAAGUGAUUGGGGAGGGAAUUAAAGAGGUAAAUUAUACAGGGCCAAAAUGAUAAAUUGUCCCCAGAUGAUAAAAUAAGCUGCCAACUCCCCUUCCCCCCACAAGCUGAAUGCUAUACCUUUCAAGAGGGCUCAUAAAUGUCAGCAGUAAUACUGAUUUUAAACCAUCUGGUUCUUCACAGUAAGUUAUGAGAUCUUCUAGCUUUAAAUACAAUAUUGGUUCAUGCAAAUGACAAUAUAACAGACUUUGACAUCCCAAAAUAUCCCUUCCCACCCUGGUUCAGCCUCCUCCCUCUCUUUCCUCCCCUUCCUUCAUUGACUUAUCUGCAGUAAAAUACCAAACCACUACAUCUUGCCAUCCCUUUUGGGUUAAAACUUCUGUUUAGACCUGUGAGCAGAGAGAGAUAGUAAAACUAAUAAACUAGCUCAUCAAUUUGAACUUGUGAUGAACUUGAGAGCUGGUAUGUUGUUGAGGCUGUUGAAAGCAAAUUCUGAGCAUGUCAUUCUUGGACAGAGAGGGAAUUAAGCUGGUCUGUGAAGCUACACAGACAGAUGUAAGUAGUGAGCUAAGGACAGCAAUGGUCUAGGAAUGUUUAUGUAGGUGAAUUGUCUAGUAUCUUCAAUACUAGUUGCACAUUAUCCUUUAGGGCCUGACUUUGAAAAUGAUGGUUUUGAAAAAUGCUGGGUGUGAAUGUGUGUCUCGUUCUUUUGCCUCCCACUGGCGACAAAGAAGCCAACACUGAGGAUCUCUGGAAAGGAAAAACUAUGGAAGUAGCAGAAAGAGCUUAAUAGGUUAUCAAGCUUGCUGAUUUCAAAUAGUGCCAAUACCCAUGUUGUAGAUCUCAUAAAUAAGACUGUUUCUAGAUUUUCUCCUCAUAUAUGCAAGUCUAGUCGCAAAUGUUAUGCCUUUCAUGAGCUGAAGCUUUUAUGAAUUCCAGACAGAAUGUGUCCGUGGGAGUUUUUAUCAUUUUCCAUUGCUUUUAAACAAUGUUUUCUCUCUAUCUCUGACAUUUACUAUUGAGAUGAUGUGGUGGAUUAACCAUGUCUGGAUGUCAGUUGCCCACCAAAAUUGCUCUAUUGCUCUUCAUCCUCAACUGGACAAGGGAGAGAAAGUAUAAUGAAAGGAUUUUGAUUUAAGGACAGGAAGACAUCACUCAUUGACUGCCACUGUCAUAGAACAGGCUGGAAUUGUGGAAAUUAGUUCCAUUUAUUACCAAACAAAUCAGAGUAUGAUUAUGACAAAGAAAGAAAACUGAAUCCUAAAGUACCAUCACUCCGUACUUCUUUCUGUGCUUAAAUUCACUCCUGAUUUUAUCUAACUCUAACUCCUCUCCCUUAGCAGUGGAGGGGGAUAGGGAAUGAGGAUUGAGGUCCAUUCAUCACAUGUUGUCCCUGCUGUUCAUAUCUCCUCAGGAGAGGAGGCCUCACACUCCUCUGCUCCUGCAUGGCGUUCCUCCCAUGUGAGACAGUUUUUCAUUAACUUCUCCAAUGUGAGUCCUGUGGAGCUGCUCCCUAUGGCUCCCUUUCACAGGGUGCAGUCCUUCAGAAGCAAACUCCUCCAGCAUGGGUCUCCUGUGGGCUCACAGGUCCUGCCAGAAAACCUGUUCUAGCAUGGGUCCACAGGUCCUGCCAGGAGUCUACCACAGCACGGGCUUCCUGCUGGGUCACACCUGCUCCAGUGUGGGGUCUUCCAUGGGCUUCAGGAGGCUAUUUGCUCCAUUUUUAACUUCCAUGGGCUGCAGGGGCACAGCUGCUUUCCCAUGGUCUGCAACAUAGGCUGCAGAGUAAUCUCUGUUCUAGGCCUCCUUCUCUGCCUCCUUCUUCCCCUCCUCCUCCUUCUUCACUGACCGUGGUGUCUGUGUAGUUGUUGCUCUCACAUUCUCACUUCCCUCUCCAGCUGCAAUUGAGCAGGGUUUUGUUUCCCCUUCUUAAAUAUGUUAUCCCAGUGGUGCUGCCACCACUGAAGAGCUUGGCCUUUUCACAGAAGCCACUCCAGUAGUCCCCUUGGUACUCAAAAUUUGCCACGCAAGGCAAAUCCUUUUGCUAAGUUAUAAAAGUAGGCCCUUCUGUUUGGCUUCCGUGACUGACUUUUUAAUUGUUCUCCUUCAAGGUUUUUUUUUUUUUUUCCUCAAUAUUGUUAAAUGGAAAAGUUAUAUAUAAUCUUCCAGAUAAGGUCUCAUCAGGGACACAUAUGAUGGCUUUUUAAUUUUCUCCCUGACAACACCUCUUGAGUGUGCCCUCUGUCUCUCUCAUAGCCAUGUCACUCACCUUAAGAGCAAAGAAAAGAUUGAAUCUGCCUAAACCCCGGCAGAGCACUCCAUAUGGUGCUGUGUGGGAAAAUGCUAUCUAAACUGGAGGAGAUGGCUGUUAGUACAAAUGCUUUGGGAGUGACUGAAGGAGAUAGCAAGAAACUGUGUUGAAAGAAGCUAUAAGGCUGGAGGGAGGUUAUUAGUGGAGUUCCUCGGGGACUGGCUUUGACAUUGAUCUUAUUUAUUAUUUUCACUAAUUACCAAAAAGUAGGAUAAAAACAAGAAUGUGCUAAUGAAAUUUGCUAACGGCUUGAAGUUGAAACUACAUAAGAGACCAGGAUUGACCCUGAAUAGUGAUGAAUUGGAGAUGGAAAGGAAUUAGUAUUAAAAUAACAAGAAGUUGCAUGUUUGGAGGAAAAAUAACAAGUAUUUCUGGCAUUCCUCAUUCAGUGAGCAGCAAAAAGUUUGUGGAAAGCUUAACUGUAUGAUAUAAUCGGAGGGUGACUGUUAUUUUGUUUGCAGUGUGGAGAGGUCUGAUGGUCCCACCACUGGAGGGAGACAAGGACCAACGAGAACAAACAUUGAUAAAUGUCAGAUGAUGUGUGAAUUCACGUGUAAGAGUGGAAAGCAAGCCUGACCCCUGUGAAGGAUUGCAUAGAUCUGUUUGUCUUCAACUGUACCACCUCAAUAUGGACAGUACAACACAGUUAAUGCAUGGGAAGGGAGGAUGCAAAAGGUCUGUGCAGAGUUGCUGUUUUAUUUGGGCCACACGGGUCAUUUUGAGGUAGUUACUUUAAGGAAAAAAAAAAAAGAAAA